RNAcentral lists this long non-coding RNA (257 nucleotides) under Lathyrus oleraceus (garden pea). Its description in RNAcentral is "Pisum sativum (pea) long non-coding RNA (PSAT_LNC017465)". Lineage: Eukaryota; Viridiplantae; Streptophyta; Magnoliopsida; Fabales; Fabaceae. The record is from RNAcentral.
UUGUUACGGGAAUAGUAACCAAAUAUGGAAUUGGAGAAGAUGAAGUCUCACUCACACCUCAUAAUUACUCAAUGCACCCUUGUGAGACUCUCUUCUUUAGGCCUAGAGCAUUUUUCUAACUACACCCCCAAUUUUCAGUCUAUUUUUGUCUUUUGUAUAUAUAUUUUUAUUUAUUAUUUUAUUAUUAUUGCUUUAUUUAUUUAUUUUUAUUCUUUUUUAUUUCCUUUAGUUUUUUUAAUUCUUUUACCUCUUGCAUU